GACGAACGCUGGCGGCGUGCUUAACACAUGCAAGUCGAACGAAGAGCGAUGGAAGCUUGCUUCUAUCAAUCUUAGUGGCGAACGGGUGAGUAACGCGUAAUCAACCUGCCCUUCAGAGGGGGACAACAGUUGGAAACGACUGCUAAUACCGCAUACGAUCUAAUCUCGGCAUCGAGGAAAGAUGAAAGGUGGCCUCUAUGUAUAAGCUAUCACUGAAGGAGGGGAUUGCGUCUGAUUAGCUAGUUGGAGGGGUAACGGCCCACCAAGGCGAUGAUCAGUAGCCGGUCUGAGAGGAUGAACGGCCACAUUGGGACUGAGACACGGCCCAGACUCCUACGGGAGGCAGCAGUGGGGAAUCUUCCGCAAUGGACGAAAGUCUGACGGAGCAACGCCGCGUGAGUGAUGACGGCCUUCGGGUUGUAAAGCUCUGUUAAUCGGGACGAAAGGUCUUUCUUGCGAAUAG
Molecule: ribosomal RNA, 463 nt
Filed under: Veillonella dispar
Lineage: Bacteria; Bacillati; Bacillota; Negativicutes; Veillonellales; Veillonellaceae
Description: bacterial SSU rRNA
Rfam family: Bacterial small subunit ribosomal RNA
Source: RNAcentral